AGGACAUUAAUGAAUUUUAGGACGUUCUUUUUAGAAGUCCGACCCUUUCAUUUUCUUACACCGUGCACACACUUCUUUUUUACACACACUUUUAACACCUUAGUAUAAGAAUGUAAUAGUCUCUUAAUUGAGCAUAAAUAAAAACAAAACUUUCAGCAACGGAUCUCUUGGCUCUCGCAUCGAUGAAGAACGCAGCGAAUUGCGAUAAGUAAUGUGAAUUGCAGAAUUCAGUGAAUCAUCGAAUCUUUGAACGCACCUUGCACUCUUUGGUAUUCCGAAGAGUAUGUCUGUUUGAGUGUCAUGAAACUCUCAACCCCCCUAUUUUGUAAUGAGAUGGGCGUGGGCUUGGAUUAUGGUUGUCUGUUGGCGUAAUUGCCGGCUCAACUGAAAUACACGAGCAACCCUACUGAAAUAAACGGUUUGACUUGGCGUAAUAAUUAUUUCGCUAAGGACGUUUUCUUCAAUUAUAAGAGGUGCUUCUAAUUCGCUUCUAAUAGCAUUUAAGCUUUAGACCUCAAAUCAGUCAGGGCUACCCGCUGAACUUAA
Molecule: ribosomal RNA, 546 nt
Filed under: Cystobasidium slooffiae
Lineage: Eukaryota; Fungi; Basidiomycota; Cystobasidiomycetes; Cystobasidiales; Cystobasidiaceae
Description: eukaryotic LSU rRNA
Rfam family: 5.8S ribosomal RNA (bases 148-301)
Source: RNAcentral